RNAcentral lists this ribosomal RNA (254 nucleotides) under uncultured bacterium. Its description in RNAcentral is "partial 16S ribosomal RNA". It matches the Rfam family "Bacterial small subunit ribosomal RNA", at positions 524 to 776 of the family's 1533-position model. The record is from RNAcentral.
GACGUAGGGCGCGAGCGUUGUCCGGAUUUAUUGGGCGUAAAGAGCUCGUAGGCGGCUUGUCGCGUCGAAUGUGAAAUUUUUAGGGCUCAACCCUGACAUUGCAUUCGAUACGGGCAGGCUUGAGUUCGGUAGGGGAGACUGGAAUUCCUGGUGUAGCGGUGAAAUGCGCAGAUAUCAGGAGGAACACCGGUGGCGAAGGCGGGUCUCUGGGACGGUACUGACGCUGAGGCGCGAAAGCGUGGGGAGCAAACAGG